UACGCUACCGACAGGCGGGACAGUGCA
This 27-nucleotide small RNA is filed under the name Bombyx mori (domestic silkworm). Its description in RNAcentral is "ovarian small RNA-21088". Lineage: Eukaryota; Metazoa; Arthropoda; Insecta; Lepidoptera; Bombycidae. The record is from RNAcentral.